GUCCUUGGGUGGUUCCUAAGCGCCAUGAUUGGGUUCUCCCGAGACAUGCCUCCCUCAAACCUUGUGAUGAUGUUGGCACAUUUUUACCGGUCAGAUG
Molecule: small nucleolar RNA, 97 nt
Organism: Tupaia belangeri (northern tree shrew)
Lineage: Eukaryota; Metazoa; Chordata; Mammalia; Scandentia; Tupaiidae
Source: Ensembl